Molecule: ribosomal RNA, 425 nt
Filed under: uncultured bacterium
Lineage: Bacteria
Description: bacterial SSU rRNA
Rfam family: Bacterial small subunit ribosomal RNA
Source: RNAcentral
GGGGAAUUUUGGACAAUGGGCGAAAGCCUGAUCCAGCCAUUCCGCGUGCAGGAUGAAGGCCCUCGGGUUGUAAACUGCUUUUGUACGGAACGAAAAGCCUUGGGUUAAUACCCUGGGGUCAUGACGGUACCGUAAGAAUAAGCACCGGCUAACUACGUGCCAGCAGCCGCGGUAAUACGUAGGGUGCAAGCGUUAAUCGGAAUUACUGGGCGUAAAGCGUGCGCAGGCGGUUUUGUAAGACAGAGGUGAAAUCCCCGGGCUCAACCUGGGAACUGCCUUUGUGACUGCAAGGCUGGAGUGCGGCAGAGGGGGAUGGAAUUCCGCGUGUAGCAGUGAAAUGCGUAGAUAUGCGGAGGAACACCGAUGGCGAAGGCAAUCCCCUGGGCCUGCACUGACGCUCAUGCACGAAAGCGUGGGGAGCAAAC